UGCAUUUUCCGGAUAGUACAAAAUAUUUUUAACUUUUAUUUUGUACAUUUUCACUUUUUUUUUUUUUUGUGGAUUUUUUUAACCAAACGAUUGUAUACGGGGCAAAGUGAUUUUUUGGUGGUUAAAAAUUUGGUCAGCCUUUUUGUUUUUUGGUCACGAAUGCUUUCGUGGUAGGGCGAUUUCGUUCCCGCGGAGGCUCAUCCGAGAAAAUUCUAGUAUUAAAAGGAACGCGGGUCUCUUAUCUAAGUUAUUGUCCGCGGAGGCAAUAGCUCCGGAGAUUACUUCGAGGGAAUGGAAGCUAAAUAGCCCCGGCGAAAUUUGUGGCGAGUCCACGUCGUACCUUGUGCGCUACACUGUUGUCUAAGAGGAGGAGCAGCGAAUUAGUAGCGAGUGCUCAGGAGGGAAGCAAUAAAACAGAGGUGAGCCGGUA
Long non-coding RNA from Cephus cinctus (wheat stem sawfly), 430 nucleotides. RefSeq lists it as uncharacterized. NCBI's taxonomy places the organism in Eukaryota, Metazoa, Arthropoda, Insecta, Hymenoptera, Cephidae. The transcript has 3 exons. The record is from RefSeq and is a predicted model, not a curated record.